UUAAGCGACUAAGCGUACACGGUGGAUGCCCUGGCAGUCAGAGGCGAUGAAGGACGUGCUAAUCUGCGAUAAGCGUCGGUAAGGUGAUAUGAACCGUUAUAACCGGCGAUUUCCGAAUGGGGAAACCCAGUGUGAUUCGUCACACUAUCAUUAACUGAAUCCAUAGGUUAAUGAGGCGAACCGGGGGAACUGAAACAUCUAAGUACCCCGAGGAAAAGAAAUCAACCGAGAUUCCCCCAGUAGCGGCGAGCGAACGGGGAGCAGCCCAGAGCCUGAAUCAGUGUGUGUGUUAGUGGAAGCGUCUGGAAAGGCGCGCGAUACAGGGUGACAGCCCCGUACACAAAAAUGCACAUGCUGUGAGCUCGAUGAGUAGGGCGGGACACGUGGUAUCCUGUCUGAAUAUGGGGGGACCAUCCUCCAAGGCUAAAUACUCCUGACUGACCGAUAGUGAACCAGUACCGUGAGGGAAAGGCGAAAAGAACCCCGGCGAGGGGAGUGAAAAAGAACCUGAAACCGUGUACGUACAAGCAGUGGGAGCACGCUUAGGCGUGUGACUGCGUACCUUUUGUAUAAUGGGUCAGCGACUUAUAUUCUGUAGCAAGGUUAACCGAAUAGGGGAGCCGAAGGGAAACCGAGUCUUAACUGGGCGUUAAGUUGCAGGGUAUAGACCCGAAACCCGGUGAUCUAGCCAUGGGCAGGUUGAAGGUUGGGUAACACUAACUGGAGGACCGAACCGACUAAUGUUGAAAAAUUAGCGGAUGACUUGUGGCUGGGGGUGAAAGGCCAAUCAAACCGGGAGAUAGCUGGUUCUCCCCGAAAGCUAUUUAGGUAGCGCCUCGUGAAUUCAUCUCCGGGGGUAGAGCACUGUUUCGGCAAGGGGGUCAUCCCGACUUACCAACCCGAUGCAAACUACGAAUACCGGAGAAUGUUAUCACGGGAGACACACGGCGGGUGCUAACGUCCGUCGUGAAGAGGGAAACAACCCAGACCGCCAGCUAAGGUCCCAAAGUCAUGGUUAAGUGGGAAACGAUGUGGGAAGGCCCAGACAGCCAGGAUGUUGGCUUAGAAGCAGCCAUCAUUUAAAGAAAGCGUAAUAGCUCACUGGUCGAGUCGGCCUGCGCGGAAGAUGUAACGGGGCUAAACCAUGCACCGAAGCUGCGGCAGCGACGCUUAUGCGUUGUUGGGUAGGGGAGCGUUCUGUAAGCCUGCGAAGGUGUGCUGUGAGGCAUGCUGGAGGUAUCAGAAGUGCGAAUGCUGACAUAAGUAACGAUAAAGCGGGUGAAAAGCCCGCUCGCCGGAAGACCAAGGGUUCCUGUCCAACGUUAAUCGGGGCAGGGUGAGUCGACCCCUAAGGCGAGGCCGAAAGGCGUAGUCGAUGGGAAACAGGUUAAUAUUCCUGUACUUGGUGUUACUGCGAAGGGGGGGACGGAGAAGGCUAUGUUGGCCGGGCGACGGUUGUCCCGGUUUAAGCGUGUAGGCUGGUUUUCCGGUGCAAAUCCGGAAAAUCAAGGCUGAGGCGUGAUGACGAGGCACUACGGUGCUGAAGCAACAAAUGCCCUGCUUCCGGUGAAAAGCCUCUAAGCAUCAGGUAACAUCAAAUCGUACCCCAAACCGACACAGGUGGUCAGGUAGAGAAUACCAAGGCGCUUGAGAGAACUCGGGUGAAGGAACUAGGCAAAAUGGUGCCGUAACUUCGGGAGAAGGCACGCUGAUAUGUAGGUGAAGUCCCUCGCGGAUGGAGCUGAAAUCAGUCGAAGAUACCAGCUGGCUGCAACUGUUUAUUAAAAACACAGCACUGUGCAAACACGAAAGUGGACGUAUACGGUGUGACGCCUGCCCGGUGCCGGAAGGUUAAUUGAUGGGGUUAGCGCAAGCGAAGCUCUUGAUCGAAGCCCCGGUAAACGGCGGCCGUAACUAUAACGGUCCUAAGGUAGCGAAAUUCCUUGUCGGGUAAGUUCCGACCUGCACGAAUGGCGUAAUGAUGGCCAGGCUGUCUCCACCCGAGACUCAGUGAAAUUGAACUCGCUGUGAAGAUGCAGUGUACCCGCGGCAAGACGGAAAGACCCCGUGAACCUUUACUAUAGCUUGACACUGAACAUUGAGCCUUGAUGUGUAGGAUAGGUGGGAGGCUUUGAAGUGUGGACGCCAGUCUGCAUGGAGCCGACCUUGAAAUACCACCCUUUAAUGUUUGAUGUUCUAACGUUGACCCGUAAUCCGGGUUGCGGACAGUGUCUGGUGGGUAGUUUGACUGGGGCGGUCUCCUCCUAAAGAGUAACGGAGGAGCACGAAGGUUGGCUAAUCCUGGUCGGACAUCAGGAGGUUAGUGCAAUGGCAUAAGCCAGCUUGACUGCGAGCGUGACGGCGCGAGCAGGUGCGAAAAGCAGGUCAUAGUGAUCCGGUGGUUCUGAAUGGAAGGGCCAUCGCACAACGGAUAAAAGGUACUCCGGGGAUAACAGGCUGAUACCGCCCAAGAGUUCAUAUCGACGGCGGUGUUUGGCACCUCGAUGUCGGCUCAUCACAUCCUGGGGCUGAAGUAGGUCCCAAGGGUAUGGCUGUUCGCCAUUUAAAGUGGUACGCGAGCUGGGUUUAGAACGUCGUGAGACAGUUCGGUCCCUAUCUGCCGUGGGCGCUGGAGAACUGAGGGGGGCUGCUCCUAGUACGAGAGGACCGGAGUGGACGCAUCACUGGUGUUCGGGUUGUCAUGCCAAUGGCACUGCCCGGUAGCUAAAUGCGGAAGAGAUAAGUGCUGAAAGCAUCUAAGCACGAAACUUGCCCCGAGAUGAGUUCUCCCUGACUCCUUGAGAGUCCUGAAGGAACGUUGAAGACGACGACGUUGAUAGGCCGGGUGUGUAAGCGCAGCGAUGCGUUGAGCUAACCGGUACUAAUGAACCGUGAGGCUUAACCU
Molecule: ribosomal RNA, 2905 nt
Filed under: Escherichia coli
Lineage: Bacteria; Pseudomonadati; Pseudomonadota; Gammaproteobacteria; Enterobacterales; Enterobacteriaceae
Description: 23S ribosomal RNA
Rfam family: Bacterial large subunit ribosomal RNA
Source: RNAcentral